AUAUGUAACAGGUCAAGUGAUGAUGAGAGCUGUGGGGAGAAUAAAGCAGGGAAAUGGACACAGAGGGGAAGACGGACACUUUUUUCAACCAGGUGGUCAGGGAAACAACACUGAAGCAGAAACCUGGAGGAAGUGAGGGAUUGCAUCACAUAGAAAUCUGGGGCAAGAGUAUUCCAGGUGGGGGGAAUGGCAGGAACAAAAGUUGCAACAGGUGUGGCAGAGAGACUCGUAGCUGCUGCCAACCCCUCCAGAACGCAGAGGCCAAAGAGCCAAAGACCACAGCACUUACACUGCAGGGACUUGACCAGAGCAUCCUCAGGAGUGAUAGGGAUGAAGGCCAAACCAGCUUCAUAAUCAGCCUCAGCCUUCCUGCAAAUGCUUUGACAUCCACUCUCCAGGGGAAGAGAAGGCCCAGGGAGCAGUCUGAUCCAGGUGCUGCCAGGAUGCUGGCACAGCUGGGGACACCCAGGCAUUCUAUUUGCGUAAGGACUCACCAGGCCUCCAGGGAUACAACCUGGUAAUGACUUCAGAACUGACAGCCUGGGGUAGAUGCUGCAGACUGCUUUCUACAGAAGAUAAAAUGCAGGGCUGGAGAGGCCAUCAGAAGUGAUCCCACAUGCAGACCCGCAGGAAAGAAGUUGGGAGACAAAGGCUUGGACCCAGUACAUCUUGGACUGGAAGAGCUGAAUGCCUGGAUUCUACCAGGAGUGACUGAUGAGUGCUACAUUUUACAGCCAGGAAUAUCGUAUGCCUGCCUUAUCUAGCUUCCUUGGAGCCUCUGACAUCCUGGAAUUAGUUUCUACUGCAGCAGGAAGUAGAUAAUAUCCUCCUGGUCAGGCUGGGAACUUCUCAGUCCUCUAAGUUGGUGCUUGAGUGUUCAGCAAGCCCAGGCUUGAGUCUGACACUUCCCUGAUUCUCCUCCCUGUCUAAACUCCUAACAGUGACUUUCAAGGUAUUUCACGAACUGACCUGUUUCCACCUUCCCAUGUUCAUCGCCAUCUCUUCCCACUAACCAGUGAUACUGUAGUUUCUCAUUCUCCCUGAGAAAGCCAUGUUCUUUCACACCCCUGUAUGUUUUUGCACAUGCUUUUGUAUAGAAAGACGUUUCUCCGCCCGUCAAACUUCUACUCAUCCUUCGGGACCCUACUCUAAUAC
Bos taurus (domestic cattle) is the source of this 1155-nucleotide long non-coding RNA. Lineage: Eukaryota; Metazoa; Chordata; Mammalia; Artiodactyla; Bovidae. The record is from Ensembl.